AGAAUGUGAAAAAAUUGGAACAUUUAUGAAAAUAAAUAUCGAUAAGAGGAAAUAUGAAAGCCAGCGGAUUUAUAGAAAUUAAAAAUUCAUAGGUAUUUCAUGAUUUCCCAACGGUGCUCGAUAUAUCUUCUGAUGGCAUACGAUGCGAGACGAUUUAAUUGCAUCGACUAUUGUGCGGAAGUGGAAUUUCGGGAUUGAAAUGGAGGGGAUGGCUCGUUUCCGGUCGAAUUCGACGGCUUGAUCGACGAUGGCGAAGGAUUUUGUUGAUUUUAAUGGUGGACGAAGGAGCGAGAGAGAAAGUGGUAUGCAAUGAACACACGUGGAAA
Apis florea (little honeybee) is the source of this 326-nucleotide long non-coding RNA. Lineage: Eukaryota; Metazoa; Arthropoda; Insecta; Hymenoptera; Apidae. The record is from RefSeq and is a predicted model, not a curated record.